UACAGAGGUCUCAAGCGUUGUUCGGAUUCAUUGGGCGUAAAGGGUGCGUAGGUGGCGCUGUAAGUCAGGUGUGAAAUCUCGGGGCUUAACUCCGAAACUGCAUUCGAUACUGCGGUGCUUGAGGACUGGAGAGGAGACUGGAAUUUACGGUGUAGCAGUGAAAUGCGUAGAGAUCGUAAGGAAGACCAGUGGCGAAGGCGGGUCUCUGGACAGUUCCUGACACUGAGGCACGAAGGCCAGGGGAGCAAACGGG
RNAcentral lists this ribosomal RNA (253 nucleotides) under uncultured bacterium. RNAcentral describes it as "partial 16S ribosomal RNA". It matches the Rfam family "Bacterial small subunit ribosomal RNA", at positions 524 to 776 of the family's 1533-position model. The record is from RNAcentral.